CAGCAGCCGCGGUAAUACCGGCGGCCCGAGUGGUGGCCGCUAUUAUUGGGCCUAAAGCGUCCGUAGCCGGGUUGGGAAGUCCUCCGGGAAAUCUGGCCGCUUAACGGUCAGAAUGCCGGAGGAUACUCCCAGCCUAGGGAGCGGGAGAGGCCGAGGGUAUUCCCGGAGUAGGGGUGAAAUCCUAUAAUCCCGGGAGGACCACCUGUGGCGAAGGCGCUCGGCUGGAACGCGUCCGACGGUGAGGGACGAAGGCCAGGGGAGCAAACCGGAUUAGAUACCCGGGUAGUCCUGGCUGUAAACGAUGCGGACUUUGUGUCGGACAAGCUAUGAGCUUGUCCGGUGCCGGAGGGAAACCGUUAAGUCCGCCGCCUGGGGAGUACGGCCGCAAGGCUGAAACUUAAAGGAAUUGGCGGG
RNAcentral lists this ribosomal RNA (414 nucleotides) under uncultured microorganism. RNAcentral's name for it is "bacterial SSU rRNA". It matches the Rfam family "Archaeal small subunit ribosomal RNA", at positions 459 to 872 of the family's 1478-position model. The record is from RNAcentral.